RNAcentral lists this small RNA (1231 nucleotides) under Pongo abelii (Sumatran orangutan). RNAcentral's name for it is "sense overlapping". Lineage: Eukaryota; Metazoa; Chordata; Mammalia; Primates; Hominidae. The record is from RNAcentral.
ACUGUGCAGCGAGAGAGGAGGGAAAGGGGAAGCGUUUGUGCCUCUCUGCCCUCUGUCCGCCUCUUGCUGCAUAGUAGCCACAUCCAUGUCUCUUGUACCCUGCAAUCUGGAGGCCACUGCCAGAAGCUGGAAAUCCCAAGUACAGCAGCAAAAGGCUUGAGGAUGGAUUCUUGGCUACUGGUGCAUUGCCACUCCCUGCGACCCUCCUCCUUGUCUUCUGUCUUCUCCUGGUGGCAUCAGGCCUUGCUUCGUGUCCCAACAGGAGCCUCUGGGGCUGGCACAGCCCUCACCGCCUACAACCUGGGCCUGGUGGUUCUCCUAGGGUGCCUCUGGGAGGUUGUGGCCACCCCGCUGCUGGCUAACUGCAGCUACUUCUGCCAGCCAGUGGACUAGAGAUGGAGCAAGCAUGGAAUGAGGGCAUCUUCCUGGAGACAGGUAGGCACUGUGGAAUCAGCAGUGCGUAGAACAGUGAGGAAUUAGGGCUGAACCCAGCCCAGGUGGGACAAGCCCUGGCACCAGCCGACUGCAGUCUGAUGGAACUUCCCCUUCCUGCCCAGCAGAUGGCGAGCGUGUGCUGCUGGUGCCUCUUUCCAAAGGAUGUUGAAUUGUUUGACAGGUGUUCUUUACUUUAUGAAUGAAACCAGAGCAGCCCACCUUCCUGCAUCUCUACCACCAUGGCACCAUGCCCUGUGAAGGGUGAGCUGGAGUCAAAUACGUAGCAGGCAGCCAGGGUCAGUUUGUGGCCACUGCUGCCUCCUCUUCCUAUGGUCUCCUCACUGAGUGCCCCUUCCCUGUUGGGUUCAACAUGUCUAUGCUCCUGUAAGCCCUCAGCCUCCUCGUUCUCUUCCUCAACUUCUACCACCAGACACACCUGAGAGGCAAGCAAGAGAGGCUAAACUAGGAGCAGGACCCAGGGACUGAAACCAGCACAGCAUCCCCACAGAGAAUUGGGUGGAAGGCAGCAUGGCUUCCAGCUUACUGGUGCCGAGCAGAUUCCCCUGGGUCUCCAUUGUAUCCUCUGAAGGAAGGAGGAGGAUUGCCUUCUGUCCAGAUCUCAGGAUCAAACAAAUAGGUCCAACUUCCUGUGCUCACUUCAGUUAGAGCACUUCUCAUGUGACUUUGUAGCUUUGUGUGCAUCUCCUUCCUCUACUAGACCUAAGCCCCUCACUGGAAGGACUCUCUUAUUCUUGAUGUUCCCCACAUCUGGAAUUUCAAUAAACAUCUCAAUAAA